Molecule: ribosomal RNA, 478 nt
Filed under: Tannerella serpentiformis
Lineage: Bacteria; Pseudomonadati; Bacteroidota; Bacteroidia; Bacteroidales; Tannerellaceae
Description: bacterial SSU rRNA
Rfam family: Bacterial small subunit ribosomal RNA
Source: RNAcentral
GAUGAACGCUAGCGACAGGCUUAACACAUGCAAGUCGAGGGCAGCAAUUUGUAGCAAUACAAAGUUGGCGACCGGCGCACGGGUGAGUAACGCGUAUGCAACCUACCCACAACAGAAGAAUAAUCCGGCGAAAGUCGGUCUAAUACUUCAUAAAACAGGGACACCGCAUGGUGUUAUUUGUUAAAGAUUUAUCGGUUGUGGAUGGGCAUGCGUGCCAUUAGGUAGUUGGUGAGGUAACGGCUCACCAAGCCUACGAUGGUUAGGGGUUCUGAGAGGAAAGUCCCCCACACUGGUACUGAGACACGGACCAGACUCCUACGGGAGGCAGCAGUGAGGAAUAUUGGUCAAUGGGCGAGAGCCUGAACCAGCCAAGUCGCGUGAAGGAUGACGGCCCUAUGGGUUGUAAACUUCUUUUGCAGGGGAAUAAAGAUAUUCACGUGUGGGUAGUUGUAUGUACCCUGCGAAUAAGCAUCGGCUA